This 427-nucleotide ribosomal RNA is filed under the name uncultured bacterium. Its description in RNAcentral is "partial 16S ribosomal RNA". It matches the Rfam family "Bacterial small subunit ribosomal RNA", at positions 355 to 774 of the family's 1533-position model. The record is from RNAcentral.
UGGGGAAUAUUGGACAAUGGGGGCAACCCUGAUCCAGCCAUGCCGCGUGUGUGAAGAAGGCCUUUUGGUUGUAAAGCACUUUAAGCAGUGAAGAAGACUCCAUGGUUAAUACCCAUGGACGAUGACAUUAGCUGCAGAAUAAGCACCGGCUAACUCUGUGCCAGCAGCCGCGGUAAUACAGAGGGUGCAAGCGUUAAUCGGAAUUACUGGGCGUAAAGCGAGCGUAGGUGGAUUGAUAAGUCAGAUGUGAAAGCCCCGGGCUUAACCUGGGAACGGCAUCUGAUACUGUUAAGCUAGAGUAGGUGAGAGGAAGGUAGAAUUCCAGGUGUAGCGGUGAAAUGCGUAGAGAUCUGGAGGAAUACCGAUGGCGAAGGCAGCCUUCUGGCAUCAUACUGACACUGAGGUUCGAAAGCGUGGGGAGCAAACA